RNAcentral lists this ribosomal RNA (1568 nucleotides) under Enterococcus faecium. Its description in RNAcentral is "bacterial SSU rRNA". It matches the Rfam family "Bacterial small subunit ribosomal RNA". The record is from RNAcentral. Lineage: Bacteria; Bacillati; Bacillota; Bacilli; Lactobacillales; Enterococcaceae.
UUUUAUGAGAGUUUGAUCCUGGCUCAGGACGAACGCUGGCGGCGUGCCUAAUACAUGCAAGUCGAACGCUUCUUUUUCCACCGGAGCUUGCUCCACCGGAAAAAGAGGAGUGGCGAACGGGUGAGUAACACGUGGGUAACCUGCCCAUCAGAAGGGGAUAACACUUGGAAACAGGUGCUAAUACCGUAUAACAAUCGAAACCGCAUGGUUUUGAUUUGAAAGGCGCUUUCGGGUGUCGCUGAUGGAUGGACCCGCGGUGCAUUAGCUAGUUGGUGAGGUAACGGCUCACCAAGGCCACGAUGCAUAGCCGACCUGAGAGGGUGAUCGGCCACAUUGGGACUGAGACACGGCCCAAACUCCUACGGGAGGCAGCAGUAGGGAAUCUUCGGCAAUGGACGAAAGUCUGACCGAGCAACGCCGCGUGAGUGAAGAAGGUUUUCGGAUCGUAAAACUCUGUUGUUAGAGAAGAACAAGGAUGAGAGUAACUGUUCAUCCCUUGACGGUAUCUAACCAGAAAGCCACGGCUAACUACGUGCCAGCAGCCGCGGUAAUACGUAGGUGGCAAGCGUUGUCCGGAUUUAUUGGGCGUAAAGCGAGCGCAGGCGGUUUCUUAAGUCUGAUGUGAAAGCCCCCGGCUCAACCGGGGAGGGUCAUUGGAAACUGGGAGACUUGAGUGCAGAAGAGGAGAGUGGAAUUCCAUGUGUAGCGGUGAAAUGCGUAGAUAUAUGGAGGAACACCAGUGGCGAAGGCGGCUCUCUGGUCUGUAACUGACGCUGAGGCUCGAAAGCGUGGGGAGCAAACAGGAUUAGAUACCCUGGUAGUCCACGCCGUAAACGAUGAGUGCUAAGUGUUGGAGGGUUUCCGCCCUUCAGUGCUGCAGCUAACGCAUUAAGCACUCCGCCUGGGGAGUACGACCGCAAGGUUGAAACUCAAAGGAAUUGACGGGGGCCCGCACAAGCGGUGGAGCAUGUGGUUUAAUUCGAAGCAACGCGAAGAACCUUACCAGGUCUUGACAUCCUUUGACCACUCUAGAGAUAGAGCUUCCCCUUCGGGGGCAAAGUGACAGGUGGUGCAUGGUUGUCGUCAGCUCGUGUCGUGAGAUGUUGGGUUAAGUCCCGCAACGAGCGCAACCCUUAUUGUUAGUUGCCAUCAUUUAGUUGGGCACUCUAGCGAGACUGCCGGUGACAAACCGGAGGAAGGUGGGGAUGACGUCAAAUCAUCAUGCCCCUUAUGACCUGGGCUACACACGUGCUACAAUGGGAAGUACAACGAGUCGCGAAGUCGCGAGGCUAAGCUAAUCUCUUAAAGCUUCUCUCAGUUCGGAUUGUAGGCUGCAACUCGCCUACAUGAAGCCGGAAUCGCUAGUAAUCGCGGAUCAGCACGCCGCGGUGAAUACGUUCCCGGGCCUUGUACACACCGCCCGUCACACCACGAGAGUUUGUAACACCCGAAGUCGGUGAGGUAACCUUUUGGAGCCAGCCGCCUAAGGUGGGAUAGAUGAUUGGGGUGAAGUCGUAACAAGGUAGCCGUAUCGGAAGGUGCGGCUGGAUCACCUCCUUUCUAAGGAA